This 795-nucleotide ribosomal RNA is filed under the name uncultured bacterium. RNAcentral describes it as "bacterial SSU rRNA". It matches the Rfam family "Bacterial small subunit ribosomal RNA", at positions 8 to 796 of the family's 1533-position model. The record is from RNAcentral.
AGAGUUUGAUCAUGGCUCAGAUUGAACGCUGGCGGCAUGCUUUACACAUGCAAGUCGAACGGUAACGCGGGUUUCGGCCUGGCGACGAGUGGCGAACGGGUGAGUAACACAUCGGAACGUGCCCGGGAGUGGGGGAUAACCUCGAGAAAUCGAGGCUAAUACCGCAUACGUCCUGAGGGAGAAAGCGGGGGACCGGUAACGGCCUCGCGCUCACGGAGCGGCCGAUGUCCGAUUAGCUUGUUGGUGGGGUAACGGCUCACCAAGGCGACGAUCGGUAGCUGGUCUGAGAGGAUGAUCAGCCACACUGGGACUGAGACACGGCCCAGACUCCUACGGGAGGCAGCAGUGGGGAAUUUUGGACAAUGGGGGCAACCCUGAUCCAGCCAUGCCGCGUGAGUGAAGAAGGCCUUCGGGUUGUAAAGCUCUUUCGGCCGGAACGAAAUCGCCCGGGUGAAUAAUCCGGGUGGAUGACGGUACCGGAAGAAGAAGCACCGGCUAACUACGUGCCAGCAGCCGCGGUAAUACGUAGGGUGCGAGCGUUAAUCGGAAUUACUGGGCGUAAAGCGUGCGCAGGCGGCUCUUCAAGUCAGGUGUGAAAGCCCCGGGCUUAACCUGGGAAUUGCGCUUGAAACUGGGGGGCUAGAGUGUGGCAGAGGGAGGUGGAAUUCCUGGUGUAGCGGUGAAAUGCGUAGAUAUCAGGAGGAACACCGAUGGCGAAGGCAGCCUCCUGGGCCAACACUGACGCUCAGGCACGAAAGCGUGGGGAGCAAACAGGAUUAGAUACCCUAGUAGUCC